Molecule: non-coding RNA, 512 nt
Organism: Styela clava
Lineage: Eukaryota; Metazoa; Chordata; Ascidiacea; Stolidobranchia; Styelidae
Source: RefSeq, a predicted model, not a curated record
AGAUGCUAUCUUGGAAAAGCUAUAUCUAGCUCGCGUCGAUGGAAUAGAUGUCGCGGGUAAAUCAGGAGAACUGGUUCGAGGUUGUAUGUUGCUACCGAGUUUAUCAGCUGGUGGCAUUGCUGGAAACUCGAGACAGUCUCUCUGAACGUGCCCCGAUUUCUUGCAGAGACGACAAGACGGGAGACUGGUAGAUGUUCUUUCCUUUAAAACCUGUAGAGAGGUAAAAUAAAAACACCGGAGAAAACGGAGGUCUAGAUUUGACGAACACUUCCGUGACAGAAGAGAGUUUGGAGAAAUGCACCUUGGUGCACACUCAUAUCAACUCUCCCUGUCACGUGAUGCUCGCUUCCUCCUAGGAAAUAAAAGAGAGAAAAUGGGCUGUCCUUUCGACGGUACAGGCCACGAUGUUACUUUGGUGAAACCGUAUCGCGAUGGCGUCUUUGGCGCCAUUUCAGCAGAAGAACUGACUGGAGGAUCCUCAUCAGGUGUUACAGACGGGAAAUCAGUACAGU